UACGUAGGGUGCGAGCGUUAAUCGGAAUUACUGGGCGUAGAGCGUGCGCAGGCGGUUUUGUAAGCCAGAUGUGAAAUCCCCGGGCUUAACCUGGGAAUGGCAUUUGGGACUGCAAGGCUGGAGUGUGGCAGAGGAGACUGGAAUUCCUGGUGUAGCAGUGAAAUGCGUAGAUAUCAGGAGGAAUACCGGUGGCGAAGGCGGGUCUCUGGGCCGAUACUGACGCUGAGGAGCGAAAGCGUGGGGAGCGAACAGG
RNAcentral lists this ribosomal RNA (253 nucleotides) under uncultured bacterium. Its description in RNAcentral is "partial 16S ribosomal RNA". It matches the Rfam family "Bacterial small subunit ribosomal RNA", at positions 524 to 776 of the family's 1533-position model. The record is from RNAcentral.